GAUGAACGCUAGCGGCAGGCUUAACACAUGCAAGUCGAGGGGCAGCAUAAACAUUGCUUGCAAUGUUUGAUGGCGACCGGCGCACGGGUGCGUAACGCGUAUGUAACCUACCUCAAACAGGGGCAUAACACUGAGAAAUUGGUACUAAUUCCCCAUAACACCUUGGGAGGCAUCUCCUUAGGUUGAAAGUUCCGGCGGUUUGAGAUGGACAUGCGUUGUAUUAGCUAGUUGGUGAGGUAGUGGCUCACGAAGGCAACGAUGCGUAGCCGACCUGAGAGGGUGAUCGGCCACACUGGGACUGAGACACGGCCCAG
This 314-nucleotide ribosomal RNA is filed under the name uncultured bacterium. RNAcentral describes it as "bacterial SSU rRNA". It matches the Rfam family "Bacterial small subunit ribosomal RNA", at positions 28 to 334 of the family's 1533-position model. The record is from RNAcentral.